GAUGAACGCUGACAGAAUGCUUAACACAUGCAAGUCGAUGGGGAAGUGGUGCUUGCACCAUGGUAACCAUGGCGGACGGGUGAGUAACGCGUAAGGAACUUACCUGCGGGACCGGGAUAACAGCAGGAAACUGCUGACAAGACCGGAUAAGGUCAUUAAGCUGCAUAGCUUAGUGAUGAAAGGAGACGCCUGCGGAGAGCCUUGCGUCCUAUUAGCUAGUUGGAGGGGUAACGGCCCACCAAGGCGAAGAUAGGUAGCCGGCCUGAGAGGGUGGACGGCCACAAGGGGACUGAGAGACGGCCCUUGCGCCUACGGGAGGCGGCAGUGGGGAAUAUUGGACAAUGGGGGCAACCCUGAUCCAGCAAUUCUGUGUGCACGAAGACGGUUUUCGGAUUGUAAAGUGCUUUCAGCAGGGAAGAAGGGAGUGACGGUACCUGCAGAAGAAGCGACGGCUAAAUACGUG
RNAcentral lists this ribosomal RNA (463 nucleotides) under uncultured bacterium. RNAcentral's name for it is "partial 16S ribosomal RNA". It matches the Rfam family "Bacterial small subunit ribosomal RNA", at positions 28 to 507 of the family's 1533-position model. The record is from RNAcentral.